Molecule: long non-coding RNA, 508 nt
Organism: Vigna unguiculata (cowpea)
Lineage: Eukaryota; Viridiplantae; Streptophyta; Magnoliopsida; Fabales; Fabaceae
Source: RefSeq, a predicted model, not a curated record
UUGGCCCAAGUGAUAAAACUAAACCCUAAUAUGUCCUAACACACUCAUUCUCACUCUUCACAUAAUCAGUCGUCACUCCUUCUGCUUUGAGAGAGAGCUCUGCUAGGGUUCAGCCGCCUUUUCGCAUCCAGUGAGCUCGAACCAGUUUUUCCGCUUCUCUUCAUAAGCAUACCCCUAGAGCCGUGGUGUCCGUGGUUGCGAUUGAGUUCUUGUACUAGCAUAUUCCAGAUGCGAGAGGUAACCGUGGUCAACAAGGGAGAGACGAAUCCGCUGCUUAGUCUUCUUGGGCUGAACCUUCUGUCCUUCUUGGGCUAUCUUUAGGGCUACGACCCAUGUACUUGUUCGCCUUUAUAUCUCUAGGAUUCCAGUAAACGGUUUAACAUGUUUCCUUUAUAUUUUUUGUGGCAUCGCGGUGUGCCUUGGUUUGUAAGGCGUUAUGUUUAAAUUCUAGGACCGCAUUGUUAUAUUAUAAUUGCGUGACGUUUCUUUAAUUACGCGCAUUAAUUUA